CCUACGGGUGGCAGCAGUGAGGAAUAUUGGUCAAUGGGCGCGAGCCUGAACCAGCCAAGCCGCGUGAGGGAUGACGGUCCUACGGAUUGUAAACCUCUUUUGCCGGGGAGCAAGUGUGCGUUCGCGAACGCGCGUCGAGAGUACCCGGAGAAAAAGCAUCGGCUAACUCCGUGCCAGCAGCCGCGGUAUUACGGAGGAUGCGAGCGUUAUCCGGAUUUAUUGGGUGUAAAGGGUGCGUAGGCGGGAUGUAAAGUUAACGGUAAAAUUGCGGGGCUCAACGCCGUCGAGCGUUUGAAACUGGCGUUCUUGAGUGAGCGAGAGGUAUGCGGAAUGCGUGGUGUAGCGGUGAAAUGCAUAGAUAUCACGCAGAACACCGGUUGCGAAGGCAGCAUACCGGCGCCCUACUGACGCUGAGGCACGAAAGCGUGGGUAUCGAACAGGAUUAGAUACCCGGGUAGUC
RNAcentral lists this ribosomal RNA (460 nucleotides) under uncultured bacterium. RNAcentral's name for it is "partial 16S ribosomal RNA". It matches the Rfam family "Bacterial small subunit ribosomal RNA", at positions 338 to 795 of the family's 1533-position model. The record is from RNAcentral.